Molecule: ribosomal RNA, 500 nt
Filed under: uncultured Glomeromycotina
Lineage: Eukaryota; Fungi; Glomeromycota
Description: partial small subunit ribosomal RNA
Rfam family: Eukaryotic small subunit ribosomal RNA
Source: RNAcentral
CCAAUAGCGUAUAUUAAAGUUGUUGCAGUUAAAAAGCUCGUAGUUGAAUUUCGGGGCCAGUAGGUUGGUCGUGCCACUGGUAUGCACUGGCCCUACUGGUCCCUCCUUCUUGUAGAACCGUGAUGCCAUUAAUUUGGUGUUGCGGGGAAACAGGACUGUUACUUUGAAAAAAUUAGAGUGCUUAAAGCAGGCUCGCGCUUGAAUACAUUAGCAUGGAAUAACGGAAUAGGACGAUCGAACCUAUUUUGUUGGUUUCUAGGAUCGACGUAAUGAUUAAUAGGGAUAGUUGGGGGCAUUAGUAUUCAAUUGUCAGAGGUGAAAUUCUUGGAUUUAUUGAAGACUAACUACUGCGAAAGCAUUUGCCAAGGAUGUUUUCAUUAAUCAAGAACGAAAGUUAGGGGAUCGAAGACGAUCAGAUACCGUCGUAGUCUUAACCAUAAACUAUGCCGACUAGGGAUCGGAUGAAGUUAAUUUUUUAAUGACUCAUUCGGCGCCUUACG